RNAcentral lists this ribosomal RNA (393 nucleotides) under uncultured bacterium. Its description in RNAcentral is "partial 16S ribosomal RNA". It matches the Rfam family "Bacterial small subunit ribosomal RNA", at positions 523 to 918 of the family's 1533-position model. The record is from RNAcentral.
AUACGGAGGAUCCGAGCGUUAUCCGGAUUUAUUGGGUUUAAAGGGUGCGUAGGUGGAUUGGUCAGUCAGUGGUGAAAGUUUGCAGCUUAACUGUAAAAUUGCCGUUGAAACUGCCGGUCUUGAGUGCAAAUGAGGUAAGCGGAAUGUGUUGUGUAGCGGUGAAAUGCUUAGAUAUGACACAGAACACCGAUUGCGAAGGCAGCUUACUGGGAUGCAACUGACACUGAGGCACGAAGGCGUGGGGAUCAAACAGGAUUAGAUACCCUGGUAGUCCACGCAGUAAACGAUGAAUACUAGUUGUCUGCGAUAUAUUGUAGGUGACACAGCGAAAGCGUUAAGUAUUCCACCUGGGGAGUACGUUCGCAAGAAUGAAACUCAAAGGAAUUGACGGGG